This 443-nucleotide ribosomal RNA is filed under the name uncultured bacterium. RNAcentral's name for it is "partial 16S ribosomal RNA". It matches the Rfam family "Bacterial small subunit ribosomal RNA", at positions 338 to 795 of the family's 1533-position model. The record is from RNAcentral.
CCUACGGGAGACAGCAGUGGGGAAUAUUGGGCAAUGGGCGCAAGCCUGACCCAGCAACGCCGCGUGAAGGAAGACGGCUUUAGGGUUUUAAACUUCUUUUUUCAGGGACGAAGCACGUGACGGUACCUGAGGAAUAAGCCACGGCUAACUACGUGCCAGCAGCCGCGGUAAUACGUAGGUCGCAAGCGUUAUCCGGAUUUAAUGGGUGUAAUGGGCGUGUAGGCGGGACUGCAAGUUAGAUGUGAAAACCACGGGCUCAACCUGGGGCCUGCAUUUGAAACUGUAGUUCUUGAGUACUGGGGAGGCAGACGGAAUUCCUAGUGUAGCGGUGAAAUGCGUAGAUAUUAGGAGGAACACCAGUGGCGAAGGCGGUCUGCUGGACAGCAACUGACGCUGAGGCGCGAAAGCGUGGGGAGCAAACAGGAUUAGAUACCCGUGUAGUC